Molecule: unclassified non-coding RNA, 334 nt
Filed under: soil metagenome
Description: partial contains 5.8S ribosomal RNA, internal transcribed spacer 2, and large subunit ribosomal RNA
Rfam family: 5.8S ribosomal RNA (bases 1-120)
Source: RNAcentral
GAUGAAGAACGCAGCGAAAUGCGAUACGUAAUGUGAAUUGCAGAAUUCAGUGAAUCAUCGAAUCUUUGAACGCACAUUGCGCCUGCCAGCACUCUGGCAGGCAUGCCUGUUCGAGCGUCAUUUCAACCAUCAAGCCCUAGGCUUGCGUUGGAGCCCUGCGGCUGCCGCAGGCCCUGAAAUGCAGUGGCGGGCUCGCUGUCACUCCGAGCGUAGUAGUUACAUCUCGCUCUGGGCGUGCUGCGGGUUCCGGCCGUUAAAAGCCUUAUUUACCCAAGGUUGACCUCGGAUCAGGUAGGAAGACCCGCUGAACUUAAGCAUAUCAAUAAGCGGAGGA